CCGUGUGCGUAUUGCUGCGCUUAUAGCCUACUGCCGUGUGCGUAUUGCUGCGCUUAUAGCCUACUGCCGUGUGCGUAUUGCUGCGCUUAUAGCCUACUGCCGUGUGCGUAUUGCUGCGCUUAUAGCCUACUGCCGUGUGCGUAUUGCUGCGCUUAUAGCCUACUGCCGUGUGCGUAUUGCUGCGCUUAUAGCCUACUGCCGUGUGCGUAUUGCUGCGCUUAUAGCCUACUGCCGUGUGCGUAUUGCUGCGCUUAUAAAGGUGAAGAAAUAGCCUAAUAGUUUAUCAACAUUUUAAGAAAAAAUGUUCUGAUCUGUUGUUUCAGCCUCAUUGAUUCUCUAAAGUUUUUUUUGAUGCAAAUAGUUGUAUUAAUUUGGUAUUUAAACGCAACCCACAACUGUCCCAGACGAUGUUUGGAAUAUUUCUCUCUUGGACCAAUAGAAUAGGUCAACUUUAUAACUAUGGGGGGUAGUGGGGCGGCAGAUAGCCGAGUGGUUAGAGCGUUGAACUUGUAACCGAAAGGUUGCAAGAUCGAAUCUCUGAGCUCACAAGGUAAAAAAUCUGUUAUUCUGCCCCUGAACAAGGCAGUUAAUCCACUGUUCCCCGGUAGACUGUCAUUGAAAAUACGAAUGUGUUAUUAACUGACUUGCCUAGUUAAAUAAAAAGGUCAAAUGAAAAAAAUUGUAGAUUGACAUAGGCUAGUACUUUCGCUCUUCGUUAGGCCUACUCAUCUUGUUAGCUGACGAAAAGUAAACGUGGACAGUUCUAGCAUCUUCAAUAUGCACCUCGGAAUUUGAUAAGAUUGAUUAGCGCAGUUGCGUCCUCGAUGUGUCUUGUCUUCACUUAUAGCCUACUUCAGAGCUGAGAUAGAUGCCUGUAAGAAGAACCCGAUCACGUUGCGGGCAUUGGCUAAUAAGAAUUGAGAUAUCUGAGAACCAUGUGAGUGAAAGGUGCGUCGGAACAUGCAGCCGGGAGAAGAGAAUUAUAAUUACUAUAUUCAGCCCAAGGGCACAACAGCCACAAAAUGCAUGUUUUUAUUUCAAUUUUAUUACGGGGCAUUACGGCCACACUAGAGGGAUGCCGCCGGGAAAUUCGAGGCACUAUCAAGUGCUUGUCAGAUUGUGAAUGGGAGACUGAUGAAGUGUUAACAGCCUGCUCAAAAAACAAAGAGCUCAUGUCUUUCAUGCAAGUCGCAUCAUGCAGACUUACAAUGUAUUAAAAAUCAAAACAUAUAGCCCAACGUUUGACAACGUAUCACAACUAAAGUUGCAUAUAUACAGUUGAAGUCUGAGGUUUACAUACACUUCGGUUGGAGUCAUUAAAACUAGUUUUUCAACCACUCCACACAUUUCUUGUUAUCGAACUAUAGUUUUGGCAAGUCAGUUAGGACAUCUAUUUUGUGCACGAUACAAGUCAUUUUUCCAACCAUUGUUUACAGACAGAUUAUAAUCACAAUUCCAGUGGGUCGGAAGUUUACAUACACUAAGUUGACUGUGCCUUUAAACAGCUUAGAAAAUUCCAGAAAAUUAUGUCAUGGCUUUCGAAGCUUCUGAUAGACUAAUUGACAUCAUUUGAGUCUGUGGGUCUGUGGAUGUAUUUCAAGGCCUACCUUCAAACUCAGUGCCUCUUUGCUUGACAGCAUGGGAAAAUCAAAAGAAAUCAGCCAAGACCUCAGAAAAAAAUUGUAGAUCUCCACAAGUCUGGUUCAUCCUGAGGAGCAAUUUCCAAACACCUGAAGGUACCAAGUUCAUCUGUACAAGCAAUAGUAUGCAAGUAUAAACACCAUGGGACCACGCAGCCGUCAUACCGCUCAGGAAGGAGACACGUUCUGUCUCCUAGAGAUGAACAUACUUUGGUGUGAAAAGUGCAAAUCAAUCCCAGAACAACAGCAAAGGACCUUGUGAAGAUGCUGGAGGAAACGGGUACAAAAGUAUCUAUAUCCACAGUAAAACGAGUCCUAUAUCGACAUGACCUGAAAGGCUGCUCAGCAAGGAAGAAGCCACUGCUCCAAAACCGUCAUAAAAAAUCCAGACUACGGUUUGCAACUGCAUAUGGGGACAAAGAUUGUACUUUUUGGAGAAAUGUCCUCUGGUCUGAUGUAACAAAAAUAGAACCGUUUGGUCAUAAUGACCAUUGUUAUGUUUGGAGGGAAAAGGGGGAGGCUUGCAAGCCAAAGAACACCAUCCCAACCGUGAAGCACCGGGGUGGCAGAAUCAUGUUGUGGGGGUGCUUUGCUGCAGGAGGGACUGGUGCACUUCACAAAAUAGAUGGUAUCAUGAGCAGGAACAUUAUGUGGAUAUAUUGAAGCAUCAUCUCAAGACAUCAGUCAGGAAGUUAAAGCUUGGUCGCAAAUGGGUCUUCCAAAUGGACAAUGACCCCAAGCAUACUUCCAAAGUUGUGGCAAAAUGGCUUAAGGACAACAAAGUCAAGGUUUUGAGUGGCAAUCACAAAGCCCUGACCUCAAUCCUAUAGAACAUUUGUGGGCAGAACUGAAAAAGCGUAUGCGAGCAAGGAGGCUUACAAACCUGACUAAGUUACCAGCUCUGUCAGGAGGAAUGGGCCAAAAUUCACCCAACUUAUUGUGGGAAGCUUAUGGAAGGCUACCCGAAACGUUUGACCGAAGUUAAACAAUUUAAAGGCAAUGCUACCAAAUAUUAAUUGAGUAUAUGUAACCUUCUGACCCACUGGGAAUGUGAUAAAAUAAAUAAAAGCUGAAAUAAAUCCUUCUCGCUACUAUUAUUCUGACAUUUCACAUUCUUAAAAUAAAGUGGUGAUCCUAACUGACCUAAAACAGGGAAUACUUACUAGGAUUAAAUGUCAGGAAUUGUGAAAACUGAGUUUAAAUGUAUUUCGCUAAGGUGUAUGUAAACUUCCGACUUCAACUGUAACUCUAAUUGAAGCAUGUAGGAGGACAUGUUUCUUUGUUAAACUGCUCAACACAGAAUAGCCACAUGUGUGCACUCCCAUAAGGACAAUUGAGUAUGCUAUUCUGUUCUUCUGAAAUAUACUUAAUUUUCUUCAUAUCAUGUUCCUUUAGACCUGUCUAAAAUAAAUCAUGGAUUUAUUGUGAUGGUGUCGGCUAUAUUAAAUUGAUUUAAUAGACUUUUUAAACAAUGUAGAUGUUCCAAAAGGUCUUCAUCAGUGUGGAAGCCAGGAGAUACUAACAAUGUAGAUGUUCCAGAGGUCUUCAUCAGUGUGGAAGCCAGGAGAUACUAACAAUGUAGAUGUUCCAGAGGUCUUCAUCAGUGUGGAAGCCAGGAGAUACUAACAAUGUAGAUGUUCCAGAGGUCUUCAUCAGUGUGGAAGCCAGGAGAUACUAACAAUGUAGAUGUUCCAAAAGGUCUUCAUCAGUGUGGAAGCCAGGAGAUACUAACAAUGUAGAUGUUCCAGAGGUCUUCAUCAGUGUGGAAGCCAGGAGAUGCUAACAAUGUAGAUGUUCCAGAGGUCUUCAUCAGUGUGGAAGCCAGGAGAUACUAACAAUGUAGAUGUUCCAGAGGUCUUCAUCAGUGUGGAAGCCAGGAGAUGCUAACAAUGUAGAUGUUCCAAAGGUCUUCAUCAGUGUGGAAGCCAGGAGAUGCUAACAAUGUAGAUGUUCCAGAGGUCUUCAUCAGUGUGGAAGCCAGGAGAUGCUAACAAUGUAGAUGUUCCAGAGGUCUUCAUCAGUGUGGAAGCCAGGAGAUACUAACAAUGUAGAUGUUCCAAAGGUCUUCAUCAGUGUGGAAGCCAGGAGAUACUAACAAUGUAGAUGUUCCAAAAGGUCUUCAUCAGUGUGGAAGCCAGGAGAUACUAACAAUGUAGAUGUUCCAAAAGGUCUUCAUCAGUGUGGAAGCCAGGAGAUGCUAACAAUGUAGAUGUUCCAAAGGUCUUCAUCAGUGUGGAAGCCAGGAGAUACUAACAAUGUAGAUGUUCCAAAGGUCUUCAUCAGUGUGGAAGCCAGGAGAUGCUAACAAUGUAGAUGUUCCAAAGGUCUUCAUCAGUGUGGAAGCCAGGAGAUACUAAAAAUGUAGAUGUUCCAGAGGUCUUCAUCAGUGUGGAAGCCAGGAGAUACUAACAAUGUAGAUGUUCCAGAGGUCUUCAUCAGUGUGGAAGCCAGGAGAUACUAACAAUGUAGAUGUUCCAGAGGUCUUCAUCAGUGUGGAAGCCAGGAGAUGCUAACAAUGUAGAUGUUCCAAAAGGUCUUCAUCAGUGUGGAAGCCAGGAGAUGCUAACAAUGUAGAUGUUCCAAAAGGUCUUCAUCAGUGUGGAAGCCAGGAGAUGCUAACAAUGUAGAUGUUCCAGAGGUCUUCAUCAGUGUGGAAGCCAGGAGAUACUAACAAUGUAGAUGUUCCAGAGGUCUUCAUCAGUGUGGAAGCCAGGAGAUGCUAACAAUGUAGAUGUUCCAGAGGUCUUCAUCAGUGUGGAAGCCAGGAGAUACUAACAAUGUAGAUGUUCCAGAGGUCUUCAUCAGUGUGGAAGCCAGGAGAUGCUAACAAUGUAGAUGUUCCAGAGGUCUUCAUCAGUGUGGAAGCCAGGAGAUACUAACAAUGUAGAUGUUCCAGAGGUCUUCAUCAGUGUGGAAGCCAGGAGAUGCUAACAAUGUAGAUGUUCCAAAGGUCUUCAUCAGUGUGGAAGCCAGGAGAUACUAACAAUGUAGAUGUUCCAGAGGUCUUCAUCAGUGUGGAAGCCAGGAGAUACUAACAAUGUAGAUGUUCCAGAGGUCUUCAUCAGUGUGGAAGCCAGGAGAUGCUAACAAUGUAGAUGUUCCAGAGGUCUUCAUCAGUGUGGAAGCCAGCAGAUGCUAACAAUGUAGAUGUUCCAGAGGUCUUCAUCAGUGUGGAAGCCAGGAGAUGCUAACAAUGUAGAUGUUCCAGAGGUCUUCAUCAGUGUGGAAGCCAGGAGAUACUAACAAUGUAGAUGUUCCAGAGGUCUUCAUCAGUGUGGAAGCCAGGAGAUGCUAACAAUGUAGAUGUUCCAAAGGUCUUCAUCAGUGUGGAAGCCAGGAGAUACUAACAAUGUAGAUGUUCCAGAGGUCUUCAUCAGUGUGGAAGCCAGGAGAUACUAACAAUGUGUUUGUUAAUUAACGGUCAAUUACCUUGAGACCGGCAGUUAUUUGCUUUGACAAUCACGGCUGACAAAAUGUAAUGACCGCCACAGCCCUAGUGAUGACUUGAUAUUUCAGAGAAUUAAUUCUGUAAAUGCCACAGAUGUCAGCUCAAGCAGAAAUCCCCUUUAAAAGUUGAUUGCAGUGCACUCGUCAUCAAAGACACUGCGUUUCAUUUUAUGUCGGCCAAAGUACAUUUUUAUAUUUUAAAAGGUACUUAUCAUCCUGUAAAAUAUCCUUACUACCCACCAGAAUUGUUCAUUACACUUUUUAUUAUUCUGUUUGCAAAAUUGUAUUGUUUUACUGUAGUGUGUUGCGAUUUUAAAUGCACUUUUAAAAAAUUCAGUUAGAUUUGAUUUUAUACAGGUCUAGGGUAGGUAGUCAAAGACACUGCAUUUGAUUUGAAUCUUGGACAAAGUACAUUUUAUAUUUCAAGGUAACUAAUGAUCCCGUAAAAUCCUAACUGCCAUAACUGUUCUUACCUCCCUCUACAGGUCUAGUGCGGAAGCACAGGGCAAAAAAAUCUUCAUGGACAUCUGCCAGGAGGCUGGAAUGGUGGAGGUCUUACCCUACCAUGAAUGUGACGUCAUUUCAAGGGAACGACCCAACUACCUCCACUGUCUAGUUCGCCUACAGGUCCAGAAUGUAUCGGCUCGUUUACCUGUAUUUAUAACUGACACAACGGCAGACAAAGCGUUUGCAAAACAUGGGAUCUUCACAAUGAAUAUAAACUCUUUCCUGCUGAUUUCUCAGAGUGACACAUGCACUAUUUCUUAAGCUGAUGGGGGAAGCUGUCCACAGAAGUCCUCAGUACAUCAAAAUGCAAUGACGUUCUAUUUAUAAAGCCCUUGUUUUAGUUGUCAGAAAGUUGUCAAAGUGAUUUAAAUUAACCCAACCAAGAGGCUAAUGAGCAGCGGCAAAGAGAUAGUCUAAGGAAACCUUCAAACCUCGAGAGGAACCACUCAGAAGGGGGAGGCCCCUUUAAGAAAUAAACAUUUCUAUUCCAAAAAUCCACUUUUUGUGGAAUUCUUGGGAGUUCUCUCAGAAAUGUAAUACAUACUGACGAUCUAACCCAGAUCUAAAUUAUUGUAGUGUAAGAAUACAAAAAAACAUUUUUUUGUUUGUCAAGGCUAAGAACAUUUACUUAGAUCAACGUUUUGGUUCCUUUGUGUAAAUUGCCUUUAAUUUCAUGUAGAUAUAUUUAUUUGUAAUAUUAUUUUUUUUCUAACAGGUAGAUUGUGUAUAGAUUAACAUCUGUUUCGGCAUUAUAUUUCUUCAAUUGUGUAUUUAUCUGUAUGUUUGUAAAGACAUUUAUUGUACUUUUGCGACAUAAAGAAAUUGAAGUAG
Oncorhynchus keta (chum salmon) is the source of this 6425-nucleotide long non-coding RNA. RefSeq lists it as uncharacterized. The record is from RefSeq and is a predicted model, not a curated record. The transcript is spliced from 8 exons. NCBI's taxonomy places the organism in Eukaryota, Metazoa, Chordata, Actinopteri, Salmoniformes, Salmonidae.